GGAAAAAAAACAUGACUUUGGGAUAACUUCAGGAAACUGGGGCUAAUACCGGAUAGGAGCUCCUGCUGCAUGGUGGGGGUUGGAAAGUUUCGGCGGUUGGGGAUGGACUCGCGGCUUAUCAGCUUGUUGGUGGGGUAGUGGCUUACCAAGGCUUUGACGGGUAGCCGGCCUGAGAGGGUGACCGGCAACAUUGGGACUGAGAUACGGCCCAGACUCCUACGGGAGGCAGCAGUGGGGAAUAUUGCACAAUGGGCGGAAUCUUUUUGCAGCAAUGCCGCGUCCACCAAGAUCUACACGUGAGG
Molecule: ribosomal RNA, 302 nt
Filed under: uncultured bacterium
Lineage: Bacteria
Description: partial 16S ribosomal RNA
Rfam family: Bacterial small subunit ribosomal RNA
Source: RNAcentral